This 482-nucleotide ribosomal RNA is filed under the name uncultured bacterium. RNAcentral describes it as "partial 16S ribosomal RNA". It matches the Rfam family "Bacterial small subunit ribosomal RNA", at positions 28 to 507 of the family's 1533-position model. The record is from RNAcentral.
GAUGAACGCUGGCGGCGUGCCUAAUACAUGCAAGUCGAACGCUUCACUUCGGUGAAGAGUGGCGAACGGGUGAGUAAUACAUAAGUAACCUGGCAUCUACAGGGGGAUAACUGAUGGAAACGUCAGCUAAGACCGCAUAGGUGUAGAGAUCGCAUGAACUCUAUAUGAAAAGUGCUACGGGACUGGUAGAUGAUGGACUUAUGGCGCAUUAGCUUGUUGGUAGGGUAACGGCCUACCAAGGCGACGAUGCGUAGCCGACCUGAGAGGGUGACCGGCCACACUGGGACUGAGACACGGCCCAGACUCCUACGGGAGGCAGCAGUAGGGAAUUUUCGGCAAUGGGGGAAACCCUGACCGAGCAACGCCGCGUGAAGGAAGAAGUAAUUCGUUAUGUAAACUUCUGUCAUAGAGGAAGAACGGGGGAUAUAGGGAAUGAUAUCCAAGUGACGGUACUCUAUAAGAAAGCCACGGCUAACUACGUG